GACAGAGGGUGCAAACGUUGUUCGGAAUCACUGGGCGUAAAGCGGGUGUAGGCGGCUUGGCAAGUCGGAUGUGAAAUCCCGAGGCUUAACCUCGGACGUGCAUUCGAAACUGCUUGGCUAGAGUCCUGGAGAGGAAGGUGGAAUGCUUGGUGUAGAGGUGAAAUUCGUAGAUAUCAAGCGGAACACCGGUGGCGAAGGCGGCCUUCUGGACAGUGACUGACGCUGAGACCCGAAAGCGUGGGGAGCAAACAGG
Molecule: ribosomal RNA, 253 nt
Filed under: uncultured bacterium
Lineage: Bacteria
Description: partial 16S ribosomal RNA
Rfam family: Bacterial small subunit ribosomal RNA
Source: RNAcentral